CCAGCAGCUGCGGUAAUUCCAGCUCCAAUAGCGUAUAUUUAAGUUGCUGCAGUUAAAAAGCUCGUAGUUGGAUUUCGGGUGGUUGACGACGGUCCGCCUCUGGUGUGUACUGCCGCUCCUCCACCUUUCUGUCGGGAACGUGCUCUCAGGCUUAACUGUCUGGGACACGGGUUCGACGAUGUUACUUUGAGUAAAUUAGAGUGUUCAAAGCAGGCAUCGCCUUGAAUAUAUUAGCAUGGAAUAACACGAUAGGACUCUGGCCUAUUUUGCUGGUCUGUAGGACCGGAGUAAUGAUUAAGAGGGCCAGUCGGGGGCAUUCGUAUUUCAUUGUCAGAGGUGAAAUUCUUGGAUUUAUGAAAGACGAACUUCUGCGAAAGCAUUUGCCAAGGAUGUUUUCAUUGAUCAAG
This 407-nucleotide ribosomal RNA is filed under the name uncultured eukaryote. Its description in RNAcentral is "SSU rRNA". It matches the Rfam family "Eukaryotic small subunit ribosomal RNA", at positions 567 to 981 of the family's 1831-position model. The record is from RNAcentral.